AACGAACGCUGGCGGCAUGCCUAACACAUGCAAGUCGAACGAGACCUUCGGGUCUAGUGGCGCACGGGUGCGUAACGCGUGGGAACCUGCCCUUAGGUUCGGAAUAACUCCCCGAAAGGGGUGCUAAUACCGGAUAAUGUCUUCGGACCAAAGAUUUAUCGCCUUUGGAUGGGCCCGCGUUGGAUUAGCUAGUUGGUAGGGUAAAAGCCUACCAAGGCGACGAUCCAUAGCUGGUCUGAGAGGAUGAUCAGCCACACUGGGACUGAGACACGGCCCAGACUCAUACGGGAGGCAGCAGUGGGGAGUAUUGGACAAUGGGCGAAGGCUUGACACAGCAGUGCCGCGGGAGUGAUAAAGCCCUUAGGGUGGUAAACCCCUUUAACCCGGGCGGAAAAUGACGGUACGGGAAGAAUAAGCUCCGGCUAACUCCGUC
This 433-nucleotide ribosomal RNA is filed under the name uncultured bacterium. RNAcentral's name for it is "partial 16S ribosomal RNA". It matches the Rfam family "Bacterial small subunit ribosomal RNA", at positions 29 to 507 of the family's 1533-position model. The record is from RNAcentral.